This 450-nucleotide long non-coding RNA is filed under the name Physcomitrium patens. RNAcentral's name for it is "long non-coding RNA (PPAT_LNC009130)". The record is from RNAcentral. Lineage: Eukaryota; Viridiplantae; Streptophyta; Bryopsida; Funariales; Funariaceae.
AGAGAGAGAGAGAGAGAGCAACAGUGGUGAUGCCCUGGCAUUGGGCAGGGCAGGAGUGUGGGAUAGGGUCUACUAGAAUGAAUUAUCUGCUGCAUCAUGGAAGAGUCAGGCGGGAGCAUGGCCACUUGGGCUUUUAAAGCUUAGGCUUGGCUUGGCUUUGCUUGCUCCAACCCAGCCCAUCCCGGCCAGCCAGCCAGCCAUUGUUGGUUAUAGCUCAUCACAUGGUGCUCUUGUGGAUCCAAUAUCUAUCUUGAAAUUUGGGCUAGAUUCCACAGAGAGAGUGGGGGAUAGAAGAGAAGAGAGGGAGAGAAAAAGAGAGACAGAGAGGGAGAUAUUUUCUUUUCUUUUCAAGAAAAAACAUAGAGGAAUUAAAGUUAAAAUUUUGGUGUUGUAUUUGUUGGUAUUGCCUAUCCCCCCAAUAAAUAAAUGAAUGAAGGUCUCAUUUUCUUA